This 429-nucleotide ribosomal RNA is filed under the name Bacteroidota bacterium. RNAcentral's name for it is "Bacteroidetes bacterium partial 16S ribosomal RNA". It matches the Rfam family "Bacterial small subunit ribosomal RNA", at positions 355 to 776 of the family's 1533-position model. The record is from RNAcentral. Lineage: Bacteria; Pseudomonadati; Bacteroidota.
UAGGGAAUCUUCCGCAAUGGACGCAAGUCUGACGGAGCAACGCCGCGUGAGUGAAGAAGGAUUUCGGUUCGUAAAACUCUGUUGUUAGAGAAGAACAGCGCAUAGAGUAACUGUUAUGCGUGUGACGGUAUCUAACCAGAAAGCCACGGCUAACUACGUGCCAGCAGCCGCGGUAAUACGUAGGUGGCAAGCGUUGUCCGGAUUUAUUGGGCGUAAAGCGAGCGCAGGCGGUCAAUUAAGUCUGAUGUGAAAGCCCCCGGCUCAACCGGGGAGGGUCAUUGGAAACUGGAAAACUUGAGUGCAGAAGAGGAAAGUGGAAUUCCAUGUGUAGCGGUGAAAUGCGCAGAGAUAUGGAGGAACACCAGUGGCGAAGGCGACUUUCUGGUCUGUAACUGACGCUGAGGCUCGAAAGCGUGGGGAGCGAACAGG